GGGUGAGUAGCUCAGCCGGUUAGAGCGCGCGGUUCACAUCCGCGAGGUCAGGGGUUCGAGUCCCUUCUCACCCACCG
RNAcentral lists this transfer RNA (77 nucleotides) under Thermomicrobium roseum. RNAcentral's name for it is "tRNA-Val". It matches the Rfam family "tRNA". From Rfam's summary of the family: Transfer RNA (tRNA) molecules are approximately 80 nucleotides in length. Their secondary structure includes four short double-helical elements and three loops (D, anti-codon, and T loops). Further hydrogen bonds mediate the characteristic L-shaped molecular structure. tRNAs have two regions of fundamental functional importance: the anti-codon, which is responsible for specific mRNA codon recognition, and the 3' end, to which the tRNAs corresponding amino acid is attached (by aminoacyl-tRNA synthetases). tRNAs cope with the degeneracy of the genetic code in two manners: having more than one tRNA (with a specific anti-codon) for a particular amino acid; and 'wobble' base-pairing, i.e. permitting non-standard base-pairing at the 3rd anti-codon position. Lineage: Bacteria; Pseudomonadati; Thermomicrobiota; Thermomicrobia; Thermomicrobiales; Thermomicrobiaceae. The record is from RNAcentral.